RNAcentral lists this ribosomal RNA (287 nucleotides) under uncultured Sphingomonas sp. RNAcentral describes it as "partial 16S ribosomal RNA". It matches the Rfam family "Bacterial small subunit ribosomal RNA", at positions 1 to 313 of the family's 1533-position model. The record is from RNAcentral. Lineage: Bacteria; Pseudomonadati; Pseudomonadota; Alphaproteobacteria; Sphingomonadales; Sphingomonadaceae.
CGGCCGCGUCGACGUUUGAUCCUGGCUCAGAACGAACGCUGGCGGCAUGCCUAACACAUGCAAGUCGAACGAGACCUUCGGGUCUAGUGGCGCACGGGUGCGUAACGCGUGGGAAUCUACCCUUAGGUUCGGAAUAACUCAGAGAAAUUUGAGCUAAUACCGGAUGAUGACGUAAGUCCAAAGAUUUAUCGCCUAAGGAUGAGCCCGCGUAGGAUUAGCUAGUUGGUGUGGUAAAAGCGCACCAAGGCGACGAUCCUUAGCUGGUCUGAGAGGAUGAUCAGCCACAC